AGCGAACGUUUGCGGCGGGCUUAACACAUGCAAGUCGAACGAGAAUCCCUUCGGGGAGGAAAGUGGCGCACGGGUGCGUAACACGUGGAUAACCAACCCAUUGGUUUGGGACAACACCGGGAAACUGGUGCUAAUACCAGAUGUGUCGCAGCUGUCUUCAGGCGGUUGCGAGAAAGGCCCGCAAGGGUCGCCAACGGACGGGUCCGCGUCCCAUCAGCUAGUUGGUGAGGUAAUGGCUCACCAAGGCAAAGACGGGUAGCUGGUCUGAGAGGAUGAUCAGCCACACUGGAACUGAGACACGGUCCAGACUCCUACGGGAGGCAGCAGUGGGGAAUAUUGCGCAAUGGGCGAAAGCCUGACCCAGCAACGCCGCGUGAAGGAUGAAUGUCGUAAGAUUGUAAACUUCUUUUUGAGGAGACGAAAAACGAGUUGGUAGCUCGAAUUGACUGUACCCUUAGAAUAAGCCCGGCUAACUACGUGCCAGCAGCCGCGGU
RNAcentral lists this ribosomal RNA (494 nucleotides) under uncultured bacterium. Its description in RNAcentral is "bacterial SSU rRNA". It matches the Rfam family "Bacterial small subunit ribosomal RNA", at positions 29 to 521 of the family's 1533-position model. The record is from RNAcentral.